This 282-nucleotide unclassified non-coding RNA is filed under the name uncultured fungus. Its description in RNAcentral is "partial contains small subunit ribosomal RNA, internal transcribed spacer 1, and 5.8S ribosomal RNA". The stretch from base 1 to 73 matches the Rfam family "Eukaryotic small subunit ribosomal RNA", at positions 1759 to 1831 of the family's 1831-position model. Lineage: Eukaryota; Fungi. The record is from RNAcentral.
GCAAACUUGGUCAUUUAGAGGAAGUAAAAGUCGUAACAAGGUCUCCGUUGGUGAACCAGCGGAGGGAUCAUUACCGAGUUUACAACUCCCAAACCCUUAUGUGAACUGUACCUAUUGUUGCUUCGGCGGGAACGCCCCGGCGCUCUAAGCCCGGAACCAGGCGCCCGCCGGAGACCCUAAACUCUUGUUUUUAAUUCGAGGUUUUCUCUGAGUGUCAAAACACAAUAAAUCAAAACUUUUAACAACGGAUCUCUUGGCUCUGGCAUCGAUGAAGAACGCAGC